Molecule: ribosomal RNA, 521 nt
Filed under: uncultured bacterium
Lineage: Bacteria
Description: bacterial SSU rRNA
Rfam family: Bacterial small subunit ribosomal RNA
Source: RNAcentral
UGACAUCCACAGAACUUUCUAGAGAUAGAUUGGUGCCUUCGGGAACUGUGAGACAGGUGCUGCAUGGCUGUCGUCAGCUCGUGUUGUGAAAUGUUGGGUUAAGUCCCGUAACGAGCGCAACCCUUGUCCUUAUUUGCCAGCACGUAAUGGUGGGAACUCUAAGGAGACUGCCGGUGACAAACCGGAGGAAGGUGGGGACGACGUCAAGUCAUCAUGGCCCUUACGAGCGGGGCUACACACGUGCUACAAUGGCCAGGACAAACGGUUGCAACCCCGCGAGGGUGAGCUAAUCCGAGAAACCUGGUCGUAGUCCGGAUCGCAGUCUGCAACUCGACUGCGUGAAGUCGGAAUCGCUAGUAAUCGUGAAUCAGAAUGUCACGGUGAAUACGUUCCCGGGCCUUGUACACACCGCCCGUCACACCAUGGGAGUGGAUUGCACCAGAAGUAGCUAGCUUAACCUUCGGGAGGGCGGUUACCACGGUGUGGUUCAUGACUGGGGUGAAGUCGUAACAAGGUAACCA